This 388-nucleotide ribosomal RNA is filed under the name Salmonella enterica subsp. enterica serovar Give. Its description in RNAcentral is "partial 23S ribosomal RNA". It matches the Rfam family "Bacterial large subunit ribosomal RNA", at positions 289 to 688 of the family's 2925-position model. The record is from RNAcentral. Lineage: Bacteria; Pseudomonadati; Pseudomonadota; Gammaproteobacteria; Enterobacterales; Enterobacteriaceae.
GGGGAGGAGCCCAGAGCCUGAAUCAGCAUGUGUGUUAGUGGAAGCGUCUGGAAAGGCGCGCGAUACAGGGUGACAGCCCCGUACACAAAAGCGCAUGUGCUGUGAGCUCGAUGAGUAGGGCGGGACACGUGGUAUCCUGUCUGAAUAUGGGGGGACCAUCCUCCAAGGCUAAAUACUCCUGACUGACCGAUAGUGAACCAGUACCGUGAGGGAAAGGCGAAAAGAACCCCGGCGAGGGGAGUGAAAAAGAACCUGAAACCGUGUACGUACAAGCAGUGGGAGCACCCUUUGGGGUGUGACUGCGUACCUUUUGUAUAAUGGGUCAGCGACUUAUAUUCUGUAGCAAGGUUAACCGAAUAGGGGAGCCGGAGGGAAACCGAGUCUUAAU